AACGAACGCUGGCGGCAUGCCUAACACAUGCAAGUCGAACGAGACCUUCGGGUAUAGUGGCGCACGGGUGCGUAACGCGUGGGAACCUGCCCUUAGGUUCGGAAUAACUCCCCGAAAGGGGUGCUAAUACCGGAUAAUGUCUUCGGACCAAAGAUUUAUCGCCUUUGGAUGGGCCCGCGUUGGAUUAGCUAGUUGGUAGGGUAAAAGCCUACCAAGGCGACGAUCCAUAGCUGGUCUGAGAGGAUGUUCAGCCACACUGGGACUGAGACACGGCCCAGACUCCUACGGGAGGCAGCAGUGGGGAAUAUUGGACAAUGGGCGAAAGCCUGAUCCAGCAAUGCCGCGUGAGUGAUGAAGGCCUUAGGGUUGUAAAGCUCUUUUACCCGGGAUGAUAAUGACAGUACCGGGAGAAUAAGCUCCGGCUAACUCCGUG
RNAcentral lists this ribosomal RNA (433 nucleotides) under uncultured bacterium. RNAcentral's name for it is "partial 16S ribosomal RNA". It matches the Rfam family "Bacterial small subunit ribosomal RNA", at positions 29 to 507 of the family's 1533-position model. The record is from RNAcentral.